GAUGAACGCUAGCUACAGGCUUAACACAUGCAAGUCGAGGGGAAACGACAUCGAAAGCUUGCUUUUGAUGGGCGUCGACCGGCGCACGGGUGAGUAACGCGUAUCCAACCUGCCCAUCACUUGGGAAUAACCUUGCGAAGGUAAGACUAAUACCCAAUGAUAUCCCACGAAGGCAUCGGAAUGGGAUUAAAGAUUUAUCGGUGAUGGAUGGGGAUGCGUCUGAUUAGCUUGUUGGCGGGGUAACGGCCCACCAAGGCAACGAUCAGUAGGGGUUCUGAGAGGAAGGUCCCCCACAUUGGAACUGAGACACGGUCCAAACUCCUACGGGAGGCAGCAGUGAGGAAUAUUGGUCAAUGGGCGAGAGCCUGAACCAGCCAAGUAGCGUGCAGGAAGACGGCCCUAUGGGUUGUAAACUGCUUUUAUAAGGGAAUAAAGUGGGUCACGUGUGACUUUUUGCAUGUACCUUAUGAAUAAGGACCGGCUAAUUCCGUG
RNAcentral lists this ribosomal RNA (492 nucleotides) under uncultured bacterium. Its description in RNAcentral is "partial 16S ribosomal RNA". It matches the Rfam family "Bacterial small subunit ribosomal RNA", at positions 28 to 507 of the family's 1533-position model. The record is from RNAcentral.